This is a non-coding RNA of Aedes albopictus (Asian tiger mosquito), 214 nucleotides long. Lineage: Eukaryota; Metazoa; Arthropoda; Insecta; Diptera; Culicidae. The record is from Rfam.
AAGACUGUGCUUCACAGGAUCAUUUCUGUAGGCAAGUUUUCACCACAAGUUUUUUCCGAAAGGAAAAGAUUUCCCACCCACGAUGAUGAGACACUGGUGACCAGUUCGGAGCGUGAAACUUGGCGCGGGUAUCGCCCAUUCGAUUCAUUCGAAAGGGCACCACGCUUCUGAUGAUCGGCUUCCUUGCAAUAGAACUGGUCGCGGUCUGAGUGGU